AUGGCGGACGGGUGAGUAACGCGUAAAGAACUUGCCCUUUAGACUGGGAUAACAGAGGGAAACUUCUGAUAAUACUGGAUAAGUUAGUAUAUCGCAUGAUAUGCAAAUGGAAGCUACGGCACUAAAGGAGAGCUUUGCGUCCUAUUAGCUAGUUGGUAAGGUAAGAGCUUACCAAGGCGAUGAUAGGUAGCCGGCCUGAGAGGGUGGACGGCCACAAGGGGACUGAGAUACGGCCCUUACUCCUACGGGAGCAGCAGGC
Molecule: ribosomal RNA, 259 nt
Filed under: uncultured Leptotrichia sp.
Lineage: Bacteria; Fusobacteriati; Fusobacteriota; Fusobacteriia; Fusobacteriales; Leptotrichiaceae
Description: partial 16S ribosomal RNA
Rfam family: Bacterial small subunit ribosomal RNA
Source: RNAcentral